AUUUGAGUUAGGAAACUGUCUUCAUAUCAUCUUUCUUCUCCCUUUUUACUUGCUCUAACAUUUUUGGCCUUUUCGUUUCAUCUUGGCAUAUUUACUACUCAUUCUUUUGAGCUGGCUCUGCCUGAUUUCUAUUUCAUUGGCUCAUAUUCACUAUUUCUGGCAAUAUUCGUUACAGGAGCAUCACAUUGGCUUGAAGCAACUGCAUGGUACUGGCAUUUUGUAGAUGUGAUUUGGUUAUUCCUAUUUGUCUUUAUCUAUUGGUGGGGAGGUAUAUGAAGGAACGAAAGAGUGGACCAUAUUAUUUCUCUUAUCAUUUUACAAAUUUGAUUUCCAAUACA
Long non-coding RNA from Morus notabilis, 338 nucleotides. RefSeq lists it as uncharacterized. The transcript has 2 exons. The record is from RefSeq and is a predicted model, not a curated record. Lineage: Eukaryota; Viridiplantae; Streptophyta; Magnoliopsida; Rosales; Moraceae.